UGCCGCGUGAGUGAAGAAGGCCUUCGGGUUGAAAGCUCUUUCGGCCGGGAGGAAAUCGCAUCAGUUAAUACCUGGUGUGGAUGACAGUACCGGAAUAAGAAGCACCGGCUAACUACGUGCCAGCAGCCGCGGUAAUACGUAGGGUGCGAGCGUUAAUCGGAAUUACUGGGCGUAAAGCGUGCGCAGGCGGUUUUUUAAGACAGGCGUGAAAUCCCCGGGCUCAACCUGGGAACUGCGCUUGUGACUGGAAGGCUAGAGUAUGGCAGAGGGGGGUGGAAUUCCACGUGUAGCAGUGAAAUGCGUAGAGAUGUGGAGGAACACCGAUGGCGAAGGCAGCCCCCUGGGCCAAUACUGACGCUCAUGCACGAAAGCGUGGGGAGCAAACAGGAUUAGAUACCCUGGUAGUCCACGCCCUAAACGAUGUCAACUAGGUGUUGGGUGGGUAAAACCAUUUAGUACCGGAGCUAACGCGUGAAG
Molecule: ribosomal RNA, 477 nt
Filed under: 'Chlorochromatium aggregatum' nonphotosynthetic symbiont
Lineage: Bacteria
Description: bacterial SSU rRNA
Rfam family: Bacterial small subunit ribosomal RNA
Source: RNAcentral